This 497-nucleotide ribosomal RNA is filed under the name uncultured bacterium. RNAcentral's name for it is "partial 16S ribosomal RNA". It matches the Rfam family "Bacterial small subunit ribosomal RNA", at positions 28 to 507 of the family's 1533-position model. The record is from RNAcentral.
GAUGAACGCUGGCGGCGUGCCUAAUACAUGCAAGUCGAGCGAACAGACGAGGAGCUUGCUCCUCUGACGUUAGCGGCGGACGGGUGAGUAACACGUGGAUAACCUACCUAUAAGACUGGGAUCACUUCGGGAAACCGGAGCUAAUACCGGAUAAUAUAUUGAACCGCAUGGUUCAAUAGUGAAAGACGGUUUUGCUGUCACUUAUAGAUGGAUCCGCGCCGCAUUAGCUAGUUGGUAAGGUAACGGCUUACCAAGGCGACGAUGCGUAGCCGACCUGAGAGGGUGAUCGGCCACACUGGAACUGAGACACGGUCCAGACUCCUACGGGAGGCAGCAGUAGGGAAUCUUCCGCAAUGGGCGAAAGCCUGACGGAGCAACGCCGCGUGAGUGAUGAAGGUCUUCGGAUCGUAAAACCCUGUUAUUAGGGAAGAACAAAUGUGUAAGUAACUAUGCACGUCUUGACGGUACCUAAUCAGAAAGCCACGGCUAACUACGUG